AAGUCGUAACAAGGUUUCCGUAGGUGAACCUGCGGAAGGAUCAUUAUUGAAUUAGACGGGAAACGAGCUGGUUUCUACAAGUGCUCUUUCCCUGAUUCUUUAACCAUACACCUGUGAACUUGGGGAGACUCUUAAUUGAGACUCUCCUUAUUAUUAACAAACUCUCUAAUAAACUAUCGAACGUGAUUGUGCCGAAAGGCCUUAAUUUUAUAAACAACUUUUAACAACGGAUCUCUUGGCUCUC
RNAcentral lists this unclassified non-coding RNA (244 nucleotides) under fungal sp. Its description in RNAcentral is "partial internal transcribed spacer region". The stretch from base 1 to 46 matches the Rfam family "Eukaryotic small subunit ribosomal RNA", at positions 1786 to 1831 of the family's 1831-position model. The record is from RNAcentral. Lineage: Eukaryota; Fungi.